GUUUGCAUACAUUUUUUGUUUGGUUUGGCUUUGUUUCCCUGCAAGUUAGUCUUGAUUGUAAUUUGAUUCGUUAGAACUUGCAAAAUCCUGCCUUGUUACACCACAUUACGCUUUACAGUUCAUAUUGUGUUGUACACAGAGCUGCACAACUGUGAAGACUCAGCAACUCAACAGCCAAGAUGAGUAGAGUGGAGUUGCAAAACCUUUCCUUCAAGCAAGGAAUGGAACUGCGAGACACCGGUGUCCCUAAACCCAAUCCGUUUCGCAAUCGAUGUGGGUGAAUCUGAUUCCAACGUUGCGCUCCACGUCAA
Long non-coding RNA from Conger conger (European conger), 311 nucleotides. RefSeq lists it as uncharacterized. The transcript has 3 exons. Lineage: Eukaryota; Metazoa; Chordata; Actinopteri; Anguilliformes; Congridae. The record is from RefSeq and is a predicted model, not a curated record.